Long non-coding RNA from Oncorhynchus gorbuscha (pink salmon), 570 nucleotides. RefSeq lists it as uncharacterized. The transcript is spliced from 3 exons. Lineage: Eukaryota; Metazoa; Chordata; Actinopteri; Salmoniformes; Salmonidae. The record is from RefSeq and is a predicted model, not a curated record.
UGUCACUAGACUUUGACCAGAUAUUAUUGCAUCCAAAGAUCAACUGAACCUAGAACAUAGAUACAGAGACAUUUGUCAUCAGGAAGGUUCUCUCUCAGCACAACGGAAAAUAUCUCAAUGACUUGACAUGUUCUGGUUGUGAAUUCAGGCUACAAGGGGUCAGUGCUCUAAAAUGAGUCUCUCUGGGGAGAGAGAGGAGGGGGGCCCUUCCUCUAAAAUGAGUCUCUCUAGGGGACAUGACACCAAAGCUAAGAGCCCAAUCAAGCAGGAGAGACCAGCCUCCCCUGUUCCCAGCUGUGUGUCCAUGAAGAGUGACUGGUCUAUGGAACCUCCUAUAGAGUUUAGAGAGGGAGACUUUUCUACUGAACAAAGGUAAGAAGAACUCAUGGGUCCUGGUCAGUGAGUUAAACAACACUGUCUCUAGUCAUUUCUCCUCCCAUUUUCCCAUUUAUUGUUGUUGUUUUCAUAAUCCAUAGGCUAAUCAUUUUGUCCAUUUUCAUAGUCCUAAAACAAUAUUAAACAAACACAACAUUCCCUCCCUGUGUGUGUGUGUGUGUGUGUGUGUGUGUG